GAGAGUUUGAUCCUGGCUCAGAUUGAACGCUGGCGGCAGGCCUAACACAUGCAAGUCGAGCGGCAGCACAGAGGAACUUGUUCCUUGGGUGGCGAGCGGCGGACGGGUGAGUAAUGCCUGGGAAAUUGCCCGGUAGAGGGGGAUAACCAUUGGAAACGAUGGCUAAUACCGCAUAACCUCGCAAGAGCAAAGCAGGGGACCUUCGGGCCUUGCGCUACCGGAUAUGCCCAGGUGGGAUUAGCUAGUUGGUGAGGUAAGGGCUCACCAAGGCGACGAUCCCUAGCUGGUCUGAGAGGAUGAUCAGCCACACUGGAACUGAGACACGGUCCAGACUCCUACGGGAGGCAGCAGUGGGGAAUAUUGCACAAUGGGCGCAAGCCUGAUGCAGCCAUGCCGCGUGUAUGAAGAAGGCCUUCGGGUUGUAAAGUACUUUCAGUAGGGAGGAAGGUGGUUAAGUUAAUACCUUAAUCAUUUGACGUUACCUACAGAAGAAGCACCGGCUAACUCCGUGCCAGCAGCCGCGGUAAUACGGAGGGUGCAAGCGUUAAUUGGAAUUCCUGGGCGUAAAGCGCAUGCAGGUGGUUUGUUAAGUCAGAUGUGAAAGCCCUGGGCUCAACCUAGGAAUCGCAUUUGAAACUGACAAGUUAGAGUACUGUAGAGGGGGGUAGAAUUUCAGGUGUAGCGGUGAAAUGUGUAGAGAUCUGAAGGAAUACCGGUGGCGAAGGCGGCCCCCUGGACAGAUACUGACACUCAGAUGCGAAAGCGUGGGGAGCAAACAGGAAAAGAUCCCCUGGUAGUCCCCGCCGUAAACG
RNAcentral lists this ribosomal RNA (812 nucleotides) under uncultured bacterium. RNAcentral's name for it is "bacterial SSU rRNA". It matches the Rfam family "Bacterial small subunit ribosomal RNA", at positions 8 to 808 of the family's 1533-position model. The record is from RNAcentral.